AAUGACAAUCAUUAACACAAAUCAAUGGGAUUAACAAUAUUUGGGUCCCAAACGCACGCACACACACGAAGUAGGAAAAUCGAAUGGGGAUGCGAUGGGUAGGGAUAGCGAGAAAGGUUGAGUAAAGGCAAACGCCAUCAUUCAACUUUUCCGACACCAACGCAAAAUGCCAAAAGCGCUGCAACCGCAGACGUGGCCCAAACACUCACACUCACAAUCGCACUCACUCAUCCUGACGCACACUCACACAGAGGCGUACAAAUCAACAUGACAGGCGCAGGACUUAAUCCGAAAAUAGUGCAAAGUGAAAUGAAUGCAUGAGGAAGCAGGAGGCGAAGGAAACAACGGCGUGGGGAUGCCAUGUCGAAAAAUGGUCAGCACUUAAUUUCCUUCCCUUCAGGACUCUUAGACUCCCCCGUAGUUUUCCUUUGUUUUGCAUGUGUGCCGCAGGGCGAUUUUAAAUGCCCCGCAAUCCCGAAGAGAUGCAAAGACACAAACGAUUUGGGCGCUUUCUGCGCCUUGGCCAGUGACAACGUAGAACGAUUUGCGACAUGGCCACAGUUGUGCGGCCAAAAGCAACCUCGAAACAGGCAACCCUAAGUUACCCCCCACAUCCCAUAUACUCCGGUUAUAUAUACCGGUUCAAUAACUAUCCGCCGACAACCACGUCCUCGGCAGCUGCGUCCCAAAAGCAACUGACGUGGCUGGAACCGUAAAUCCUAGCCGGAUUGUCUCAAGGAUUCUUAAAGAUGAUCAGAGCAUGUGGAGGGGGAGAAUCUAUAUUCAG
Molecule: non-coding RNA, 787 nt
Organism: Drosophila melanogaster (fruit fly)
Lineage: Eukaryota; Metazoa; Arthropoda; Insecta; Diptera; Drosophilidae
Source: Ensembl